This 163-nucleotide small RNA is filed under the name uncultured Massilistercora sp. RNAcentral's name for it is "Clostridiales-1 RNA". It matches the Rfam family "Clostridiales-1 RNA". Lineage: Bacteria; Bacillati; Bacillota; Clostridia; Eubacteriales. The record is from RNAcentral.
GAUGCCAGGGUCCCAAGGUCUAAACCUACAUGAGCUUGCUCAUAGGUGGGUGAGAGACCUUGGGACCCGCCCGAAUAUGAGCAUAAAAGUGGGAUGGAUAUCCCGCGAUAUGCGAAUGUUGGGAAGGAUUGUGAGAGUGCGCAGCGCAGGCCGCAAUCCGAAG